GAUUUUGCUCCUGAAACUGUUUCAAUGUUUCUUCUGCAUGUUUUCGCACUGUUGAAUCAACUGAUUGUGCAUUUAGAAGGACCUGAGUGACUUCCAUUGCAAUGUGAUUCCUGAAAAUUGUAGAUGCGGCAAAUGAGAUGGUAACCAGCAAAUUACACUGAGGGAUCGAAUAUACCAGAAACGGCGCCCAAUUGAAACCCUAAAAUUGCAGAUGCGUUGAAUGAGAUUGAAACCAGCAGAUUACACUGUGGGAUUGAGUGAAUCAAAAC
RNAcentral lists this unclassified non-coding RNA (269 nucleotides) under Hevea brasiliensis (rubber tree). Lineage: Eukaryota; Viridiplantae; Streptophyta; Magnoliopsida; Malpighiales; Euphorbiaceae. The record is from RNAcentral.